GUUACACAAUUAUUUGUAAUAUACUUUUUGUAAUUAUAUGUUAUUCGUUUUUCAAGAUAUCUGGUUUUUUAGGAAAUUAAUUUAAUUAAGCUGAAUUUAAAAUUUUUCUAUUUAUUUAGUUUUUAUUUUGGUUUGAGUAAUGUUUAAGGGGAUAAGCUUUUAAUCAAAUUUAUAUAAUGAUUUUUUCUUAGUUUGACGUAGGAAUAGAAGUUUUCAUCUGUUGAAGUGUGUUAUUACUUGAUUUUGGUACAUUUAAUUUUUUGUUGUUUAUGUUUUUACUAAAAUUAUUAUUUUAAUUUUAUUUAUUUUGUAAUAAUGGUUAAAUUAGUAUAUUGAUGUGUUUAUUAUAUAUUUGGUUGUGAGAUUAUUUAAAGGAAUUCGGCAAAUUAAUUUUCUGCCUGUUUACUAAAAACAUGGCCUUUUGAUAAUUAUUUAAGGUCUGACCUGCUCUAUGAUUAAUUAAAUGGCUGCGGUAUUUUGACCGUGCAAAGGUAGCAUAAUCAUUAGUUUUUUAAUUGGAAGCUGGUAUGAAUGGUUGGACAAGGGAAUUACUGUCUCUGAAUAAUUUUAUUUGAAUUUUAUCUUUUAGUGAAAAAGCUUAAAUAUUUGUGAGGGACGAGAAGACCCUAUAGAAUUUUAUAAAUUAAUUUUGAUGGGAUUUUUGGUUUUAUUUAUUUAGUUAUAAUUAAUUUGUUUUGUUGGGGUGAUAGGAAAAUUUAUGUAACUUUUCUUUAUAUAUUACAUUGAUGUGUGAAUUUAUGAUCCAUUAUUUAUGAUUAAAAGAUUAAAUUACCUUAGGGAUAACAGCGUUAUUAGUUUGGAGAGUUCUUAUCGAUAAACUAGAUUGCG
Molecule: ribosomal RNA, 849 nt
Filed under: Odontolabis siva
Lineage: Eukaryota; Metazoa; Arthropoda; Insecta; Coleoptera; Lucanidae
Description: partial 16S ribosomal RNA
Rfam family: Archaeal large subunit ribosomal RNA (bases 364-566)
Source: RNAcentral